This 253-nucleotide ribosomal RNA is filed under the name uncultured bacterium. RNAcentral describes it as "partial 16S ribosomal RNA". It matches the Rfam family "Bacterial small subunit ribosomal RNA", at positions 524 to 776 of the family's 1533-position model. The record is from RNAcentral.
UACGUAGGGUACAAGCGUUGUCCGGAAUUAUUGGGCGUAAAGAGCUCGUAGGCGGUUUGUCGCGUCUGCUGUGAAAACUCGGGGCUUAACCCCGGGCCUGCAGUGGGUACGGGCAGACUAGAGUGCGGUAGGGGAGACUGGAAUUCCUGGUGUAGCGGUGAAAUGCGCAGAUAUCAGGAGGAACACCGGUGGCGAAGGCGGGUCUCUGGGCCGUAACUGACGCUGAGGAGCGAAAGCGUGGGGAGCGAACAGG